AGAGUUUGAUCAUGGCUCAGGACAAACGUUGGCGGCGUGCCUAACACAUGCAAGUCGACCGAAUUAGAUUCGGGGCGAACGGGUGAGUAACACGUGGAUAACCUGCCCUCAACUUAGCCAUAAUCCGUCGAAAGGCGGUCUAAUAGCUAAUGGUUCCCGAUAGCUUUGGCUAAUCGGGAUAAAAAUUUACUUCGAUUUUAUCGGAGUAAAUCGGUUGAGGAGGGAUCUGCGUCCUAUCAGCUUGUUGGUGAGGUAAUGGCUCACCAAGGCUUCGACGGGUAGCUGGACUGAGAGGUUGACCAGCCACAAUGGGACUGAGAUACGGCCCAUACUCCUACGGGAGGCAGCAGUUGGGAAUAUUGCGCAAUGGGCGAAAGCCUGACGCAGCGACGCCGCGUGGAGGAAGAAGCUUUUCGGAGUGUAAACUUCAAUAACUAGGGAUGAAAUCUUGACAGUACCUAGUGAAAGCACCGACUAACUACGUGCCAGCAGUCGCGGUAAUACGUAGGGUGCGAGCGUUGUC
This 523-nucleotide ribosomal RNA is filed under the name uncultured bacterium. RNAcentral describes it as "bacterial SSU rRNA". It matches the Rfam family "Bacterial small subunit ribosomal RNA", at positions 8 to 545 of the family's 1533-position model. The record is from RNAcentral.